GGCGGACGGGUGAGUAAUGUCUGGGAAACUGCUGAUGGAGGGGGAUAACUACUGGAAACGGUAGCUAAUACCGCAUAACGUCGCAAGACCAAAGAGGGGGACCUUCGGGCCUCUUGCCAUCGGAUGUGCCCAGAUGGGAUUAGCUAGUAGGUGGGGUAACGGCUCACCUAGGCGACGAUCCCUAGCUGGUCUGAAAGGAUGACCAGCCACACUGGAACUGAGACACGGUCCAGACUCCUACGGGAGGCAGCAGUGGGGAAUAUUGCACAAUGGGCGCAAGCCUGAUGCAGCCAUGCCGCGUGUAUGAAGAAGGCCUUCGGGUUGUAAAGUACUUUCAGCGGGGAGGAAGGGAGUAAAGUUAAUACCUUUGCUCAUUGACGUUACCCGCAGAAGAAGCACCGGCUAACUCCGUGCCAGCAGCCGCGGUAAUACGGAGGGUGCAAGCGUUAAUCGGAAUUACUGGGCGUAAAGCGCACGCAGGCGGUUUGUUAAGUCAGAUGUGAAAUCCCCGGGCUCAACCUGGGAACUGCAUCUGAUACUGGCAAGCUUGAGUCUCGUAGAGGGGGGUAGAAUUCCAGGUGUAGCGGUGAAAUGCGUAGAGAUCUGNGAGGNAAUACCGGNUGGCGAAGGCGGCCCCCUGGACGAAGACUGACGCUCAGGUGCGAAAGCGUGGGGAGCAAACAGGAUUAGAUACCCAGGUAGUCCACGCCGUAAACGAUGUCGACUUGGAGGUUGUGCCCUUGAGGCGUGGCUUCCGGAGCUAACGCGUUAAGUCGACCGCCUGGGGAGUACGGCCGCAAGGUUAAAACUCAAAUGAAUUGACGGGGGCCCGCACAAGCGGUGGAGCAUGUGGUUUAAUUCGAUGCAACGCGAAGAACCUUACCUGGUCUUGACAUCCACGGAAGUUUUCAGAGAUGAGAAUGUGCCUUCGGGAACCGUGAGACAGGUGCUGCAUGGCUGUCGUCAGCUCGUGUUGUGAAAUGUUGGGUUAAGUCCCGCAACGAGCGCAACCCUUAUCCUUUGUUGCCAGCGGUCCGGCCGGGAACUCAAAAGAGACUGCCAGUGAUAAACUGGAGGAAGGUGGGGAUGACGCCAACUUCUCAUGGCCCUUACGGCUGCAGCUACCCUGCUGCUACUGUGGUACAUACCAAUAUGCGGAAUCUCGCAAGAGU
RNAcentral lists this ribosomal RNA (1172 nucleotides) under uncultured Escherichia sp. RNAcentral describes it as "bacterial SSU rRNA". It matches the Rfam family "Bacterial small subunit ribosomal RNA", at positions 97 to 1264 of the family's 1533-position model. Lineage: Bacteria; Pseudomonadati; Pseudomonadota; Gammaproteobacteria; Enterobacterales; Enterobacteriaceae. The record is from RNAcentral.